AAAUUGAAGAGUUUGAUCAUGGCUCAGAUUGAACGCUGGCGGCAGGCCUAACACAUGCAAGUCGAACGGUAGCACAGAGAGCUUGCUCUUGGGUGACGAGUGGCGGACGGGUGAGUAAUGUCUGGGAAACUGCCCGAUGGAGGGGGAUAACUACUGGAAACGGUAGCUAAUACCGCAUAACGUCGCAAGACCAAAGUGGGGGACCUUCGGGCCUCACACCAUCGGAUGUGCCCAGAUGGGAUUAGCUUGUUGGUGAGGUAAUGGCUCACCAAGGCGACGAUCCCUAGCUGGUCUGAGAGGAUGACCAGCCACACUGGAACUGAGACACGGUCCAGACUCCUACGGGAGGCAGCAGUGGGGAAUAUUGCACAAUGGGCGCAAGC
Molecule: ribosomal RNA, 383 nt
Filed under: Kluyvera ascorbata
Lineage: Bacteria; Pseudomonadati; Pseudomonadota; Gammaproteobacteria; Enterobacterales; Enterobacteriaceae
Description: bacterial SSU rRNA
Rfam family: Bacterial small subunit ribosomal RNA
Source: RNAcentral